GCACAAGAAAGAAGGCAAGUACCAAUAGACUUACGUAACUGAGCUCAUUUAUGGCUCCAAAAAUAUGUUAAAACAAAAAUCCUUUGCAAGCACAGAUCCUUGUGCAUGUUUAAAAUAUGACAUCCCAGACCCUGUGACAAAGAAAUUAUUUCCUCCACCUUUCCUACAGGGUAGUUUCCAGAAUCAGACGGUUUCUUGAUCUACAUUUGAAAACUGAAAGAAGAACAUUAGGUCCUAAUCUCCAUCAACAAAUUCCUUCCAGCCAAGAACUCCCAGACUGAGCCACGGGGAGGGAGGCAUUCUCGAGAACCGAUGGGAAGAUCAACCUCAUUUUAUUGGUUUGGAGGACAGCCGGACCUCUAAGGCGUCCAUGUGGUAUGAUUGGGAGGAUCACUCAUCCUGGAAAAAGCCAGUUGCCAUGUUAUGAGAACCUUCAAGUGAUCCUAUGGAAAAGCGCAAAUGGCAAGAAACUAAAGCCUUUUUCCAAUAGUCAGAGAGAAACUGAGGCCUCAUGCCAAUAAUCAUGUAAGUGAACCAUCACAUGAGCAGAUCUUCCAGCCUUAGUCAAGCUUUCAGGUGACCACAGCCCUGGCCACCAUUGUGACUCUCACUUCAGGAGAGGCCCUGAGCCCAAACUACCCAGCUAAGCUGUUUCUGAGUUCUUGACCCACAGAAACUGUGGGAUA
Long non-coding RNA from Neofelis nebulosa (Clouded leopard), 686 nucleotides. RefSeq lists it as uncharacterized. The transcript has 3 exons. The record is from RefSeq and is a predicted model, not a curated record. Lineage: Eukaryota; Metazoa; Chordata; Mammalia; Carnivora; Felidae.